Molecule: RNA transcript, 6631 nt
Organism: Oryzias melastigma (Indian medaka)
Lineage: Eukaryota; Metazoa; Chordata; Actinopteri; Beloniformes; Adrianichthyidae
Gene name: protocadherin-15
Exons: 41
Source: RefSeq, a predicted model, not a curated record
GGGGUCAAAUAAUAUUGGCCUCAAAUUAGCUCCAUACACCUCUACUUUCCUGCCCGCCGUGGGAGACCAGAAACUGAGCACAUCGAGCAGCCGUUAAUCCGCGCGUUUUUUUUUCUUCUGCCGUAAUUCGAUUAAGGUGCUGCGAUCUCCGCGUUUGCCGCUCUCUGCCUCCUGCGGUAAAGGCGAGGAUACUUUAAGACAAAACCUCCCGCCCUGAGUCCGCAUCGUCCCCCUCCACCUCCCCAUCUCCUCCUCCUUUAUUCCUUCAGCUAAUGUCGCCUCCUUCUCUCUCUCUCUCCGCCUCACUGUGUAGUUGGAGGAGCAGCAGAGAGCAGCUUUCACUGUUGCUCCUCCUCGCUCCUUCGGAGCUCUGAGACUUAGAAUAAAGAAGACUUCUGAGGACGAUUUUUCCCCUCUUUUUUUCUUUUUUGCUCCUUUUGACUUCAAACCAAUGUCACCUCAUCUGUGAACGAAGCGGUUUUUACGAGGAAUAUACUGAACCCCCUCUUCCCGAGAAAAGAAAAGAGACUCAGAAGAAGAAGUGGAUGAGUUGUGUGGAUGUUAAGUCUUGGAUUUUGUGGUUUAUUUUUUCUUUUUUCCGCGGCCCAGAGACAGCAACAGUGUGUGGAAAAGUAGAUUUGCAUGUUCAACAUAUGGCUUCGGCGAGGAUAACACGCUGGGUGCUUGGUGAAGCGUGGUGGUGAAGAUGGUAAAAGAGCGCUUAAUGGGGCCACAGUCACGGGGCCAGGUCAGAUGGAUGAAUCUAACAGGAGCGGGAGUUCUUUAUCUUCUGCUGCUGCUGUCAGCGUGUGUCGGCCAGGAGACUGAAGAUUGGCAAUAUGAGGAAUGUAAACUUUCUCGAUCGGGUCCUCCUGCAACCAUCGUGGCCAUAGAUGAAGAAAGUCCAAACGGAACACUGCUGGUGGAGAACAUGCAGAUAAAUGGUGUGGCCGAGGGUCCAAAUCGAACAAUCUCCCUGUCGCUAAAGGAAAACAAAGACUACUGGGUGAUUCUGGACCCUGCCAAACAGGCUCUUUACCUGAACAGCACCGGGCGGGUUCUGGACAGAGACCCUCCGUCAUACAUUCACUCCAUUGUGGUCCAGGUCCAGUGUACCAACGAACUGAUUGGCACCGUGAUUUUACACGAAGUCCGUAUUGUUGUUCGCGACCGCAACGACAACGUGCCCCGUUUCCAGCAGCCAAGAUAUUACGUCUCCAUUAGUGAGCUCACUCCUGUAGGAACGACCAUCUUCUCCGGGUUUUCCGGAAACAACGGAGCAACAGACAUUGAUGACGGUCCCAAUGGGCAGAUAGAGUACACUAUCCAGUACAACCCCAAAGACCCAACCGCCAACAGAACAUUUGACAUCCCGUUAACAUUAUUUGGGUCUGUAGUGCUCAGAGAAAGACUCAACUACGAAGAAAUAACGCGAUACCUGGUUAUCAUACAAGCAAAUGACCGAGCCCCUUAUCCAAGUGAUCGCCUUUCCGCCACCACAACACUCACAGUAGACGUCCUGGAUGGGGACGACCUGGGCCCCAUGUUCCUGCCCUGCACACUCGUAGGAAACACCCGAGACUGUAGUCCCAUCACCUAUAAGGCCAAUGUGCUUGAAGUGACUGAGCCGGAUAAGGUGAACCCCCUCAAUGUGACUCCACCCAUUCAAGCAGUGGACCAGGACAGAAACAUUCAACCUCCAUCUGACAGGCCGGGAAUCCUGUACUCCAUCCUCAUCGGAAAACCAGGUUCUUAUGCCGAGUACUUCAGCCUGAACAGAACCUCAGCAGAACUGCUGCUGCUCAAACCCAUCGACCGAGAACUCUAUCGCAGGUUUGACCUGGUCAUUAAGGCCGAGCAAGACAACGGCCACCCCUUGCCAGCUUUCGCCAAUCUCCAAAUUGAGGUUCUGGAUAAAAACAAUCAGGCGCCCUACUUCCUGGAGACCAGUUACCAUGGAUACAUCAGCGAAGCAUCACCUGUAGGAACCACAAUAGCAAGUAACUCCAGCCUGUCUGCUCCUCUUGUCAUCAUAGGUCUGGAUAACGAUGUAGAGGAGACUCGAGAUCCUCAGCUCCAGUUCUCUCUGGACAGCUACGCCGACGUCUUCUCUGUGUCCGCCUCUGGAAUCAGAAGAUAUCUGACGCUGGUGCAGCCUGUUGACCGAGAGACACAGGACUCCUACACGUUCACGCUUCUGGCAUCUGAUGGCGUGCAGCAGAGUGCUCCCGUCACAGUCACCGUUUCAGUGCUGGACGCUAACGACAACACGCCGACCUUUUCCAACGUCUCGUACAGCAUCAACCUGUUCACCAACAUGCUGCCAGGGGAAACUGUGUUACAGCUGACUGCAGUUGAUCCAGACGCGGGUCAGAACGGUGAAGUCACCUAUCGGAUCCUGGCCGGUGAUCUGGGGAAGUUUCAUUUAGACAGCAGCAGUGGGAUCAUCACAGUGGCUCCAGGAGUCCAGCUGACCGUUGGACAAAGAUACGCUCUGACAGUAGAAGCCAUGGACAACGGGCCGCUGCCUCACAGACGGUCAUCCAUUACGACAGUCUAUGUGGAAGUUUUGCCCCCAAACAACCAGAGCCCUCCCCGUUUCCCACGGCAACAAUACAACCUGGAGAUCAGUGAAGCUAUGAGGACGGAAGCCACGCUGCUGAACUUGCAGGCAGUGGAUCGUGAAAUGGACCCCAUAACCUAUAAAAUCCACAGUGGAGAUGUCACUGGAAGUUUCACUCUGCAGCAGAACUCUGGGUCUUUGGUUCUGAGCAGUCCCCUGGACAGAGAGUCUCUGGAUUACUAUUCUCUGGUGGUCACAGCUUCAGACGGACACCCAGAUGGAACUUCUACCGCAACAGUGAACAUCGCGGUGACCGAUGUCAACGACAACGAUCCAGUUUUCAGUUCGUCACUGCCGGUGAACCUCAGCGUCACAGAGGAGGAGAAUCACGCUUUUGUUGGACAGGUCAAGGCAACCGAUCCAGAUCUGGGGGCAAACGGUCAGGUCCAUUAUCAGCUCAUCAACCACCAGACGCUGUUUUCCAUCAACGCCAGCGGCUUCAUCACCACUGCAGCGCCUCUGGACAGAGAGGUGAAAGGCCACUAUCGCCUCAUGGUGGAAGCCUCGGAUGGAGCGGUGGACCCGCGGCGAUCCAGGCUGACGCUCAAUGUCACCGUUCUGGACGUGGAUGACAACAGCCCUGUUUUCUCCCAGCAAUCUUACAGCGUUAAUCUGCCCGAGAACAGCCCGGAAGAUACUGUCAUUCUGCAAUUAAAGGCCACAGACCCGGACCUCGACUCCAACCUCACAUAUCGAAUCGGAACUGAAAGCCUGGAUCCUGAAAUAACGAAGCUGUUCCGCGUCCACCCCAUUACCGGGGAGCUGGCGGUUCUCAGAGUUCUGGACUUUGAAGCUCUGAACAAAUCCGACGCCACGUUUACGUUCACCGUUGAGGCCGUCGACACGGAGGGAGCCAUGCCGCCUGGACUGGCGUCUGUUGCUGUCAGAGUAAUGGACAUGAAUGACUUUUCUCCAGAGUUCAGCCAGUCGCUGUAUCGAGGAAUGGUCGCCCCCAACGCUGUCAAGGGAACCAUCGUGACCACGGUGCUGGCCAGUGACGCUGACCCUGCGGGUACCCCCGCAGGUCUGGUGAACUACAAAGUGGAUCAGCAAACACAGUCUUAUUCGGCCACUAUAUUUGAAGUGGAAAAAGAGACGGGACAUGUGAUCACCAGAGUCAACCUCAAUGAGGAGCCCAACCUGAAGUUCAGCUUGGUGGUGGUGGCCUACGAUCACGGAGAGCCUGUGAAGGAGAACACCGCCCUGGUGGAAAUUACAGUCCUUCAGCCCUCGGUUAUUCCCGUCUUCACUCAAGAAGAGUACAGGUUUCCACCAGUGAGUGAGGAGGCUGCUGUUGGAACCCUGGUGGGGGCGAUUAAAGCUGCAGCUGUCAAUCAAACCAUCGUAUAUUCCAUCGUCGACGGCAACCAGGGAAAUAUCUUCACGCUGAAUGAAACAUCAGGAGAGAUUUCAACAGCCAAGGCUUUGGACUAUGAGACCAAAGCAACAUACGUCCUAAAGGUGGAGGCUGACUCCUCUUUUAACCUCAGAGCUCCCUCGAAGACUAACACAGCCAAGGUGGUGAUUGAUGUCCAGGACGAGAAUGACCACCCACCAGUGUUCACCAAACCUCUCUACAUUGGAGGAGUUGCAGAAAAUGCCAAGACCUUCACCUCCGUCCUGCGAGUUCAGGCUUUGGAUGAAGACACUGGUAACUACAGUGCCAUGAUGUACCGGCUGAUCAUCCCCCCUCCUGCAGGCAAAGACACCAAAGACAGCAAAGACGGCUUCGUCAUCGAGCCGUACAGCGGCGUGCUGAAGACGGCCAUCAUGUACCGCAACAUGAGGAGGUCCUACUUUAAGUUUGAAGUGGUUGCCACUGACAACUACGGUCAAGGCCACAGCAGCAAGGCAGAGAUAGUGGUGUCAGUUGUGAACCAGCUGGACAUGCAGGUGGUCGUGUCCAAUGUUCCUCCAACGUUUGUGGACAAAAACAAGGAGAAGCUGCUCAGCAUUUUGGAACGCUACGUCCAGGAGCAGAUACCGGGAGCAAAGGUUGUCAUGGAAACCAUAGGGCCUCAUCGGUACGGGGAAGGGAUGGAUCAGGAAGAUUACACCAAGUCUGACCUGAUGAUUUACGCCAUUGACCCGCUGACGAACAGAGCUGUGGCGACGCAGGAGCUUUACAAGUUCCUGGAUGGAAAGCUUCUGGACAUCAACAAAGAAUUCCAGCCUUUACUUCCUCCUGGUGGGCGAAUCCUGGAAAUCCGAACUCCUGAGUUAGUGACCAGCGUGAAGAAAGCCGUGCAGUCUGUGGGCUACACGGAGGGAGCGCUGCUGGCGCUGGCGGUCAUCAUCAUUAUUUGUUGUGUUCCCGCCAUUCUGAUCGUCAUUAUCACCUACAGACAAUUCAAAGAGCGCCAAGCAGAGUGUGCCAAAACAGCCCGUAUCCAGAUGGCCCUGCCAACAGGUAAACCUGGGGGAGGAGCUGCCAACAACUUGUACGAGGAACUGGGAGACAACGCCAUACGUGGAUUUGGGCAACAAGAGACACAACAGCUCCUCCGACCUUCUCUCCUCAGGCCGGAGGAAUUAUCAAUGGAAUCUGGCAUUGACCCCGGGCAGGAAUAUUACACACAGGAUUACUACAACUAUGAUCACGGGUAUGAGCUUCCUCAGUACGGCAGCCGCAGGAAGCUGAUCUCUCCGUCCGGCCUCUACGACGAAUAUGGAGAAGUGGUCGUCGACGACGACGGCAGCUACUACUACAGCCCCCAGGAGUCAGAGGGAGAGGUGAGGAGACAGUUUGCUGAGGACAGAUUAGCCCUGCACUCCUGGCACGCCAAGGCCGCCCCUCCCCCCGUCUCUCCCCCCGAGGGCGACGGCAACCAAACAAACACGAGUAAAGCUAAAGGCUUGAGCGCGGCGGCGAGGCUGAAGUCGGCGGUGAGAGCGGGCGUGGGUAAUACGGCCCUCCACCCCCCGUGGAGGAAAGCCAGAGUGGGGCCCGCCAAAGAGGAGGAGGAGGGGCGCACAGUAGGAGGAGGAGGAGGAGGAGGGGGAGGUUAUGAGUUUAGAAAACAAGAGAUAAGAAAAAAGUUGGGUGGAGAAAGAGGAGAAGAGCUGGGGAAAGGGGGAGGGAGAGAAGGGGAAACAUGGUGGAGGGGCGGGAUGAGAAGUGCCACCUGCGAAGCAAGAGACUACAGGGGGGUUCUGCCCGGCUUGCUGUCCCCUAUCCAGCCUUUCAGCCUGGACGGCGCCGUGGUCAUCGAUGGGAGUUAUUUCCAAACAUCCACCCAACCAAGCAAACCCCUUAAAGAAAAACUGAAAGACCACCUCGGUCUGGUGUCUUUUGCCCGGAGAGUCCAGGGCCCCGCCAGGGUGAGGGACGACCCCGAUGGCGGGCGGGGGCACGGCUCCGUUGGGGACAUGAGUGUUUCUGCGUCUGUUUCCGCCCGAGGAGACGCGGGGAGGAGGUGGAGCAAAGGAACACAGGACAGUGACAGCGAGACGGAGAACGGGGCGUCUCCGUCGGACCUCUCCGACCGGAGCAGCGCUGUGUCCUCGCUCACAGUGGACACUGAAGUCAACGACUCGAACGCCGAAGACAGCUCUGAAUCUGAAGACGAGCGGAGACGAGAACCCAAUCGAAAACACUCUAGAAGCACCGGAACCUAUCCGGGUUCUACGGUUGAAGACGACAGCGAGGAGGACUCCGAGGAGUCCCCGGACGGCGGGUGGAACCGAUCAAACGGCGCCCCCGAAGAUUUAUCCCCCAUCAUGGAGGACACGGAGGAGGACGAGGGGAGCAGCAGCCAGACCGAAGCAACACAUCAAGACGAUGAGGAAGAGGGGGAGUCGGGAAAGGAGUGUGCUGAUUGAGGCGCUGAUGAGCCUUUAGCCCCCUCUCGAGAUUAAAAUCUUUGCCACUAACACGGCAGUAGAAAACGCCGGAUCAAGCUGGUGGUUGAUCGAGAGUACGAGACCAGCUCCACCGGCGACGAGAGCCUCCCGGAGAGCCAGCGCGGCCGCGCCCCCGCCGCCCACAACAGCCUCAUCAACGGCAGC